Molecule: ribosomal RNA, 499 nt
Filed under: uncultured bacterium
Lineage: Bacteria
Description: bacterial SSU rRNA
Rfam family: Bacterial small subunit ribosomal RNA
Source: RNAcentral
UAUCCGUUCAGUGGCGGACGGGUGCGUAACACGUGAACAAUCUGCCCGGAAGAGGGGGAUAGCCCAGGGAAACUUGGAUUAAUACCCCGUGUGGCACAGGCUGGCAUCAGUCUGUUGCGGAAGGUGCUGAAAGGUGCCGCUUCCGGAUGAGUUCGCGGCCUAUCAGCUAGUUGGCGGGGUAACGGCCCACCAAGGCAACGACGGGUAGCUGGUCUGAGAGGAUGACCAGCCACACUGGAACUGAGACACGGUCCAGACACCUACGGGUGGCAGCAGUCGAGAAUCAUUCACAAUGGGCGAAAGCCUGAUGGUGUGACGCCGCGUGGAGGAUGAAGGUCUUCGGAUUGUAAACUCCUGUCAAGUGAGAGUAAAGCCGGGCGUUAACUGCGAGCCGGUUUGAGAGUAUCACUAGAGGAAGGGACGGCUAACUUCGUGCCAGCAGCCGCGGUAAUACGAAGGUCCCGAGCGUUGUUCGGAAUCACUGGGCGUAAAGGGAGCG